This is a non-coding RNA of Labrus bergylta (ballan wrasse), 870 nucleotides long. NCBI's taxonomy places the organism in Eukaryota, Metazoa, Chordata, Actinopteri, Labriformes, Labridae. The record is from RefSeq and is a predicted model, not a curated record.
GCAAAAUAAGGUGGUUGAUUUAUUAACCAGAAAUAACACAAAACAGCAAAAACUAAUAAAACAACUAGAUUAAAUAAACAGCCUCACAGCAAGCUGCCACCAACAAACAUUUCCCCCCAGACUCUGGCUGAGUCUCCCUUUAUUCAAGAAACAACCCAACUGAAGGCCUCACUCUGUCCCAUUAGGCUCAGCUGAUUUCACAUCAGCUGAUGAUGAUGUGUUGAUGAUGUGAUGACAUCAUCAACACAUCAUCAUCAGAUCUGACUGUUAAUGUUUCGUUUUCUUACUGAUCAGUCUGACACAUCUAAACGUGUUUCCAGAUUCACUGAAAUUAAAGAUGGCUGCUGUAGGUUGAAUAUCUCUCCCCUCCCCCUUCCCCGUCUGUCCUGCUCAGGCCGACAUCUACAAAGCAGACUUCUUAGCGGAGCGAGAAGCCAGAGAGAAGCUGAACCAGAAGAAGGAGGAGCUACAGGAACAGCUGACUCAGGCCCGCUCUGAGAUUGAACGGUUCAAACAGGAAGCCACGUCACGAGCACGAAUGGAGCAAAUGAAGCUGAGACACCAGGAAGACUUCUCAACACGGGCGCCCCACAUUCCCCCCCACAAGGUGUGUUUGCAGGUGCAGCCUUCAACACGGUGCCCCCUGCCCCCUCGUACCGUAAUCAGGGUCUGUUACCUGUGGGGGACCCGGGGGCAGCGGGGGCAGAGGACCUGCCGGAUCUAUGUUGUCCUAAGUGCCAGUACCAGGCUCCAGACAUGGACACACUGCAGAUACAUGUGAUGGACUGUAUACAGUAAACAGGACACACACACACACACACACAGACACACACACACACAAACACACUGACACACACACACACUGAUACA